Molecule: ribosomal RNA, 253 nt
Filed under: uncultured microorganism
Description: partial 16S ribosomal RNA
Rfam family: Bacterial small subunit ribosomal RNA
Source: RNAcentral
GACAGAGGUGGCAAGCGUUGCUCGGAUUCACUGGGCUUAAAGGGCGCGUAGGCGGCUUUGUAAGUCCGAGGUGGAAUUCCACAGCUUAACUGUGGAACUGCCUUGGAAACUGCAAGGCUUGAGUCAGGUAGAGGGAGGCGGAAUUCCCGGUGUAGCGGUGAAAUGCGUAGAUAUCGGGAGGAAGGCCGGUGGCGAAGGCGGCCACCUGGGCCAAGACUGACGCUGAGGUGCGAAAGCGUGGGGAGCAAACAGG